RNAcentral lists this ribosomal RNA (684 nucleotides) under uncultured bacterium. Its description in RNAcentral is "bacterial SSU rRNA". It matches the Rfam family "Bacterial small subunit ribosomal RNA", at positions 92 to 777 of the family's 1533-position model. The record is from RNAcentral.
UGAGUGGCGGACGGGUGAGUAACGCGUGGGCAACCUGGCCUGUACAGGGGGAUAACACUUAGAAAUAGGUGCUAAUACCGCAUAACGGGGGAAGCCGCAUGGCUUUUCCCUGAAAACUCCGGUGGUACGGGAUGGACCCGCGUCUGAUUAGCUGGUUGGCGGGGUAACGGCCCACCAAGGCGACGAUCAGUAGCCGGCCUGAGAGGGCGGACGGCCACAUUGGGACUGAGACACGGCCCAAACUCCUACGGGAGGCAGCAGUGGGGAAUAUUGCACAAUGGGGGAAACCCUGAUGCAGCGACGCCGCGUGAGUGAAGAAGCGUUUCGGCGCGUAAAGCUCUGUCAGCGGGGAAGAAACACGGUUCGCGAGAGCCGCGGACGGUACCCGACCAAGAAGCCCCGGCUAACUACGUGCCAGCAGCCGCGGUAAUACGUAGGGGGCAAGCGUUAUCCGGAUUCACUGGGUGUAAAGGGAGCGUAGACGGCGAGACAAGUCUGGAGUGAAAGGCCGGGGCCCAACCCCGGGACUGCUCUGGAAACUGCCUGGCUGGAGUACAGGAGAGGUAAGUGGAAUUCCUAGUGUAGCGGUGAAAUGCGUAGAUAUUAGGAGGAACACCAGUGGCGAAGGCGGCUUACUGGACUGUAACUGACGUUGAGGCUCGAAAGCGUGGGGAGCAAACAGGA